This 426-nucleotide ribosomal RNA is filed under the name uncultured bacterium. Its description in RNAcentral is "bacterial SSU rRNA". It matches the Rfam family "Bacterial small subunit ribosomal RNA", at positions 354 to 796 of the family's 1533-position model. The record is from RNAcentral.
GUGAGGAAUAUUGCCCAAUGGACGCAAGUCUGAGGCAGCAACGCCGCGUGGGUGAUGAAGGCCUUCGGGUUGUAAAACCCUUUUCCGGGGGACGAGUAAGGACGGUACCCCAGGAAUAAGUCACGGCUAACUACGUGCCAGCAGCCGCGGUAAUACGUAGGUGGCAAGCGUUAUCCGGAUUUACUGGGCGUAAAGCGCGUGCAGGCGGUUCUGUAAGUCGGACGUGAAAGCUCCUGGCUUAACUGGGAGAGGUCGUUCGAUACUGCGGGGCUUGAGGUCGGGAGAGGGGCGUGGAAUUCCCGGUGUAGUGGUGGAAUGCGUAGAUAUCGGGAGGAACACCAGUGGCGAAAGCGACGCCCUAGCCCGCACCUGACGCUUAGACGCGAAAGCGUGGGGAGCGAACGGGAUUAGAUACCCCGGUAGUCC